CUAUCUGCUCAUGAAAUUAAAUAGCCGCAGAAUUUUUACUGUGCUAAGGUAGCAUAAUCACUAGUCUCUUAAUUAGAAACUCGAAUGAAAGAUCUAACAUUUUAUUGGCUUUUUUAGAUUAAUUUUCAAAACUUAUACUAAGUAUAAAAAUAUACUUAUUCAAAAAACAGACGACAAGACCCUAUCGAACUUAACCGAUGUUUAGCUGGGGCAGCUAAUUAAACACAAUUUUAAUUAAUACUAUAAAAAAAAUUAACCCAAUACAAUUGAAAUUGAACAAGUUACCGUAGGGAUAACAGCGUAAUUUAUUUUCUAAGCUCUUAUUUAAAAAUAAGAUUACGACCUCGAUGUUGAAUUAUAUCUCCUCUCAGCGCAAUAGCCUUCAAGGAAGGUCUGUUCGACCUUUAAACUUUUACAUGAUCU
RNAcentral lists this ribosomal RNA (423 nucleotides) under Ero juhuaensis. RNAcentral's name for it is "partial large subunit ribosomal RNA". It matches the Rfam family "Bacterial large subunit ribosomal RNA", at positions 1855 to 2606 of the family's 2925-position model. The record is from RNAcentral. Lineage: Eukaryota; Metazoa; Arthropoda; Arachnida; Araneae; Mimetidae.